UAUGAAUGAAUUUUCUAAAAAUUUUUUUUUGUUUUUUCUUAACUUAUAUUUUUGUUGAAAAUAACAAUAUAGUUUUCUAAGACUAAAAGACCCUAAAAUUUUUAUAAUUUAAAUUAUUUGGUUGGGGAAAUAGUUGAUUUUUAAAUAUUUGGAUAUUUUUUUAUAAAAGAACUUUUAUUAAAGAGAGUUUGUUAAAAUACUCUAGGG
RNAcentral lists this ribosomal RNA (207 nucleotides) under Avenzoaria totani. RNAcentral describes it as "partial 16S ribosomal RNA". The record is from RNAcentral. Lineage: Eukaryota; Metazoa; Arthropoda; Arachnida; Sarcoptiformes; Avenzoariidae.